UCCAAGGCUAGAGUCACACUCAGGUAUUGGUUGUUGCCUUAGUGUGCUAGAGUCCUUGAAGAAUAACUGCUGACCUUAUUCACUGGCUGUGGACUUUCUGGCACGGUCAGUCACCAGGUUAGUGACAUGC
Small nucleolar RNA from Cricetulus griseus (Chinese hamster), 130 nucleotides. Ensembl annotates it as small nucleolar RNA SNORA3/SNORA45 family. NCBI's taxonomy places the organism in Eukaryota, Metazoa, Chordata, Mammalia, Rodentia, Cricetidae. The record is from Ensembl.